Molecule: transfer RNA, 77 nt
Filed under: Candidatus Beckwithbacteria bacterium CG10_big_fil_rev_8_21_14_0_10_34_10
Lineage: Bacteria; Candidatus Beckwithiibacteriota
Description: tRNA-Val
Rfam family: tRNA
About the family: Transfer RNA (tRNA) molecules are approximately 80 nucleotides in length. Their secondary structure includes four short double-helical elements and three loops (D, anti-codon, and T loops).
Source: RNAcentral
GGGCUCGUAGCUCAGUUGGCUAGAGCGUUCGCUUGACGUGCGAAAGGUCACAGGUUCGAGUCCUGUCGAGCCCACCA